GAUUUCUGGUUUAAUGCACCUGGCCCGCAGCCUUUUAGGCUCGUGAGUGCCGGCGCGCGUUUACCAUCCUUCUAGAAAUCGGCUCUGCCAUUCACUUGGUGGGGUCGCGAUCUAGAUCUUUUACUUUGAAAAAAUUAGAGUGUUUAAAGCAGGCUUUUGCUAUGAAUACAUUAGCAUGGAAUAAUAAUCUAGGACUUCGGUUCUAUUUUGUUGGUUUCUAUAACUGAAGUAAUGAUUGAUAGGGAUAGUUGGGGGUGCUAGUAUUGGCCGGCCAGAGGUGAAAUUCUUGGAUUCGGUCAAGACUAACUUAUGCGAAAGCAUU
RNAcentral lists this ribosomal RNA (322 nucleotides) under uncultured Rhogostoma. RNAcentral's name for it is "SSU rRNA". The stretch from base 60 to 322 matches the Rfam family "Eukaryotic small subunit ribosomal RNA", at positions 691 to 955 of the family's 1831-position model. Lineage: Eukaryota; Cercozoa; Thecofilosea; Cryomonadida. The record is from RNAcentral.